GGAAGUGCCUCGCGACGCGGGGCCGCCACCGCCGCCGGGCCGAGGGAGGGCCCGGCAACCGCCGCCUGCGCGCCGGCUGCCCCUCGGCUCCUGGGAGCCGCGGCGCUACGGGCCUGCCGAGCACUCGGGCGGGCGCCGAGCAGGCUGGGCCCCGGCGCAGUGGCCUAGCCUGGACCGCAAGGCCGAAGCCGCCUCCGGGCCGCGUCCCGGUGUUUCGGGUUGUGUAACCUUGGCCAAAAUGCUUAAGCUUUUUUCCUGGCUGCCAAAUGGGGCCGAUCGUCUGACCUGCUGCCUCCGGAACUUGAGGGAUCAGAUCAAAUAACCCUUUCCUGGCGCUCGUCUGCCGCUGUGAAUGAAUCACGGGCUCCUGUAAUCACCGUUAGGAGAGAUUGUUAAACUCGUACAGGGUUGGAUGUUUUAAAGUUACUGAAUAUUUACUGGACCCCUACUGUUCAAUCAAGACAUGCUAAGUUAGCUUGCCAUUCUUGUUCAUUUAUGUGUUUACUUAACUAUUUCUGGGUCUCCUCUUCCCAGUCAUAAAUAUCUCUUGGAGUGUAAGCUCCUCGGAGCAGAGAUCCUGUUUCCGUAUUUCCUGUACCUAGAACAGUGCCAGAUCCGUAGUAGACACUGAAACAAAAAAUCUUUAAAAAAAAAAAAAUAUACGAAUGUGGCACCACCAUUUACACAGGCCACUAAGCCAAAAAUCUCGAACUUGUCAGAUUGUCUCUUCUCAGCCAUCAGCAGUCAACAAGUUCUAGCAUUUGGUCUCUUAAAAGUGGUUCAAGAGUUUAUUUUUCCUCUCCUUCCUCUGCCAGUACCAACCAGUCUUCCGUAUCACUAUGUAUUGCAAGAGUCUCACAAGAAGAUAUCCAUCACUGACUGAUCUUCCUCCCGUUUAACAUCCCCAACAGGUGCCAGGGUGAUGUUUUUUUUAUUCUAAAAAGAAACCAGAUUAUAUCGCUCACUCCCUUGCUUAAAACAGUUCUUCAAUGUUAGGUAAAUAAAUCAUGGAGUCACCACGAGGGCGUUCAUCUGCCAGGCACUAUUCUGAACGAUAUUGGCUCAUUAAAUUCUCACAGAAACCCUAUGCAGCAGGGCCCUUGUGACUGGACCUCAUGCCAAACAACUCGUUACAAAAAGAGCUAGGGUUCCAGACUGCGCCGAAGCUUCAUGAGACCUCUCCUUGUCUGCAUGGACGAGUGGCCAACUCUGGAGCCCAGGCUGUUGCUUCCCAGUCUGGUGGUGAAUCCUCCAUAGUCUGGUGAGUGUAAAUACAUAUAUAUAUCUUUUCCCUUCUCCCUUCCCAUUGCAAUUUGCUUAUUAUAUCAUUUGCUUAUAUCUGCACUGCCAUUUGGGAUAAAGCUUGUUUACCCUUAAAGGUAUUGUGUGUGUGUCUCCUCCCGCGCGCAUUUCCCACACAGAACACCUAAGAACCUAUUUUUUAUGAUUUUUACGAGAAGUGAAUUCCAAGUUGUGCCUCAGAAUUCAGAAUAUAUCUUUCAACCUCCUACUCAUCCCCUCACCACCCUGGUGAACACAGUGUCUGGCCAGCAGGAAUGAAUGAAGAAGACUAUUUUAUGUUCUUAAUAACUUGCUUGGAAAUGAACAGAGCACAAUUUAUCAAACCAAAGCAAAUAUUUAUACAGGCAGAUCCCUUAAAAUUGAGGAUUAAUGCUUAGGAAGAAUUUUUUAGAAUUUUCCAAAUUAACCACUUGUCUUUCUCAGAAAUAAAUCUGUUACUGAUGCUUCCUCCACCAACCAGCUGCAAAACCACACACUAUUCUUUGAAGGAGGAACACAGAAAACCAACUUACUUCCUGGGGCAUUUGGGAGAGGAAUCUAAAAAUCCUAGUGAUAUGGCAAUGACUAGAACCUUUUUUUUUUUUGUAACAACAAAGCUAAAAGGGGAUGUGUAACUUAGCUUGACUUGUAAAAAUAUUCGUAGAAGUCAUCUAUAUUUUACCACUUUGUGUAACUAAGGCAGAGCAUUAGAGAUUAUUCACAUCAUUAAAUAUGUCCAGUUAAAUUAUUAGAUUACAACACCAACCUCUUGUUCAUAGUCUCUCAGUCUUCAGCUGGGCACGGGGGCUCACGCCUGUAAUGCCACCACUUUGGGAUGCCGAGACGGGCGGAUCACUUGAGGUCAGGAGUUUGAGACCAACCUGGGCAACAUGGUGAAACCCCGUCUCUACUAAAAAUACAAAAAUUAGCUAGGCGUGGUGGCAGGUGCCUAUAAUCCCAGCCACUCGGGAGGCUGAGGCGGGAGAAUCACUGGAACCCAAGAGGUGGAAAUUGCAGUAAGCCAAGAUGGCACCACUGCACUCCAGCCUGGGUGACAAGAGCAAAACUCUUGUCUCAAAAAAAAAAAAAAAAAAAUAGUCUCUCAGUCUUCAUACUUUGUUGCUUAGUUGGAUUAUCUGCUCCUAGGUUUUAAUAUAAGAUGAAAUAAAAGUGCUGGCCUAGGAAUUGGAGGCCAAUUUACCUUAGGGGCAAAGGCAAUGGUGGUGAAUAUACCCAACAGCUUCACUUUCUAUGGAGCCAGCUUGUAAAAUCUUGGGCAAGGAUGGUGGCAGCAGAGCUGUCUGCCUAAGCAUCAUGUAGAAAAUUUUUUAAUGGUUUCUUUGGACCCUAGCUUGCAGUGUCAUUUCUGCUUCUCAUUGUAUUGGAAAUCCAUGGUUUUGUUACAUAAUGUACUCCUAAAAAUGUAUACACAUGUGUUGAGUAUGUGGAAGUUGAAUAUAUUUAUGUUAUAAAUGAGCAGUUCUGUUUCUGGAAAAUGAAAAUUUUCACCUCAUCACUACAGACAUUCUUUGAUAACACAGUCCCAGUGUUUCAUCCAGAUUAUUUCAUUUUCUUCUUUUACAUAUAACCAACCAUUUUGGAUGUUAAAGGAACAACCAGUGAGGGCUUAAGAUCUGCUGCUUUUGACUUGGCACUCCUGAUCAGUUCCAUCCGUGUCUCAAGUGUAUCACAUUCACGAGACAAGGCUUCUCAUCAGCAAUUUCAAUUUUAUGUUUUCUACUUAUUUUUAUAUAAGAAUACAAUGCAACAAAAUAUUCAUAUAUUGCAC
RNAcentral lists this long non-coding RNA (3070 nucleotides) under Homo sapiens (human). RNAcentral's name for it is "non-protein coding lnc-LCOR-4:1". Lineage: Eukaryota; Metazoa; Chordata; Mammalia; Primates; Hominidae. The record is from RNAcentral.